CCCGGGAGGCCGAGGUUGCAGUGAGCCGAGAUUGCGCCACUGCACUCCAGCCUGGGCAAAAUUUAUAUGAACAAUUUAGUUGAGUUAGAGAGCAGAUGUUCGUACAAAGCACUUAGGAACAGUUCGAUUUCAAUUUUGGUGUUUAUUUUAAGUAAGCUGUAUAUGUUACUAUUUGAGAACCUGCUAGGGUUUUAGAAUACACAUUUCUUUAGUUUUUAGCUAUAAUUCAAUAAAUUAGUACUUUUGGCUAAGUGUGAGGAUUGGCUUAGUAGGUGGCAGAACAGCAACACUAGAAGAGAGAUGAUUACUGUCACAUGGAGAGGGGCUUCCUGAGGAGCUGAGAUUCAGCCU
This 351-nucleotide long non-coding RNA is filed under the name Pan troglodytes (chimpanzee). Its description in RNAcentral is "long non-coding RNA NONPTRT013443". The record is from RNAcentral. Lineage: Eukaryota; Metazoa; Chordata; Mammalia; Primates; Hominidae.